UUUAAUUGAAACCAAAUGAGAGGUUUAUCACUGUUAAUGAUAUCAUUGAGUCCAACUCCAAUUAA
RNAcentral lists this transfer RNA (65 nucleotides) under Erotylinae sp. 4 ACP-2013. RNAcentral's name for it is "tRNA-Asn". The record is from RNAcentral. Lineage: Eukaryota; Metazoa; Arthropoda; Insecta; Coleoptera; Erotylidae.